GACGAACGCUGGCGGCGUGCUUAACACAUGCAAGUCGAACGGAAAGGCCCUGCUUUUGUUGGGUGCUCGAGUGGCGAACGGGUGAGUAACACGUGAGUAACCUGCCCUUGACUUUGGGAUAACUUCAGGAAACUGGGGCUAAUACCGGAUAGGAGCUCCUGCUGCAUGUUGGGGGUUGGAAAGUUUCGGCGGUUGGGGAUGGACUCGCGGCUUAUCAGCUUGUUGGUGGGGUAGUGGCUUACCAAGGCUUUGACGGGUAGCCGGCCUGAGAGGGUGACCGGCCACAUGGGGACUGAGAUACGGCCCAGACUGCUAAGGGAGGCAGCAGUGGGGAAUAUUGCAGAAUGGGCGGAAGCCUGAUGCAGAAACGCCGCGUGCGGGAUGACGGCCUUCGGGUUGUAAACCGCUUUCGCCUGUGACGAAGAGUGAGUGACGGUAAUGGGUAAAGAAGCACCGGCUAACUACGUG
This 468-nucleotide ribosomal RNA is filed under the name uncultured bacterium. RNAcentral describes it as "partial 16S ribosomal RNA". It matches the Rfam family "Bacterial small subunit ribosomal RNA", at positions 28 to 507 of the family's 1533-position model. The record is from RNAcentral.